This 1056-nucleotide long non-coding RNA is filed under the name Salmo salar (Atlantic salmon). Its description in RNAcentral is "lncRNA (ENSSSAG00000093952.1, ENSSSAG00020061529.1)". The record is from RNAcentral. Lineage: Eukaryota; Metazoa; Chordata; Actinopteri; Salmoniformes; Salmonidae.
CAGACGUCACGAAACGUCAUCAGAAGUGUCCACUUCAUUUCAGGGCUGAGGGGAUAGGGUGUGUCUUUUAAGAGUUUGGAUCAGUAGCGCUGUGAAAACUGCAUCGGAGCUCCGGUAUUGAUCGUUCCAUCACUACUCAAGCCUAGAGAGGGAAAAAGGGGCACUCUGGAAUCUCUGCGCCUGCAGCUGCACCUCUGAGAUGAGACCCUCCGCCACUACCAACCAUUAUCAGAGCUGCUUUGCCAAUCCAUGGGCCACCAUCUUAAUAGUGUCAAUGAGCUGAAUCAGUGGCUCCUGGCCCUGAGGAAAGCCUGCAGCCACAACAGACACUCCUUCCACCCAGGGGUUUACACAGGAGAAUGAUGGAGCUGCUGCCACCAGAAGGACAAAGCAGGUGCGGGGGGCUGCCAUAAUCAACAUCCACAGCGCUUGGGGAACAGUGGGUUAACUGCCUUGCUCAGGGGCAGAACAACAGAUUUCUACCUUGUCAGCAAGGGGAUUCGAUCCAGCAACCUUUCGUUUACUGGUCCAACGCUCGAACCACUAGGCUACCUGCCACACAAGGUGCUAGCCCUCCUGGGCAGCUACUUGGUGUGCAGGUUUUUGUACCAGCCCUACUCUUAACAACGAUUCAGCAAAUCGAGCUCCCGGUGACCAGCUGAUUACUUAAAUCAGACCAAGGAUGUGACAAGAUCAAACAUGGGGUGACAUUACAGGAGUUGUACGAUCCCCUCGACCCAGACCUGGAAUACCAGCUUAUCUACCGGCACCUUAUUGGAGUCCAACAAGCUAUGAGGUGAGAAGAAGCUGGACGGGGUCACAAGGUUGUUCAGUGUCCUACAGGACCUGCAGGACUCUCACACUGCAGUGGAGGAGGGGAGGUCAAAGAAUAUAAACUUUCUUCUGGAGCGGCAAACGUAACAGAACGUCAACUCAACAGGCAGUUUUCAGGCCUAGGAUGUCCCAAAUGAUACUCCCUCAUCCCCUUUAUAGUGCAUACAAAGAUAUCCCAAAAAUGCAUACAAAGAUAACCCAAACCCAUUCCCUCCUCAGUCC